AUGUGAUCGCUUUUAUAUUCUUAGUAUAAAAGCUCAUGUAAUUUUCCCGACCCCCGCUAGUAACUCCAGACGAGGAGCCUUCGCUCGAAACAUCGAAAUUCUCCUUAUAUUGUGAUAUAAGUUCGAAAUUCUCCUUAAUGUUGCUUCAGGAUCAUACUCUUCUGCAAAUCUAUAAAACAGACAAUAUUUGAACAUCUAACAAACAAAUAGUUGAAAAGA
Non-coding RNA from Paramuricea clavata, 219 nucleotides. The record is from the annotation of a GenBank genome assembly. NCBI's taxonomy places the organism in Eukaryota, Metazoa, Cnidaria, Anthozoa, Malacalcyonacea, Plexauridae.